Molecule: ribosomal RNA, 253 nt
Filed under: uncultured bacterium
Lineage: Bacteria
Description: partial 16S ribosomal RNA
Rfam family: Bacterial small subunit ribosomal RNA
Source: RNAcentral
UACGUAGGGGGCAAGCGUUGUCCGGAAUCAUUGGGCGUAAAGCGCGCGUAGGCGGCCCGGUAAGUCCGCUGUAAAAGUCCAGGGCUCAACCCUGGAAAGCCGGUGGAUACUGUCGGGCUAGAGUCCGGAAGAGGCGAGUGGAAUUCCUGGUGUAGCGGUGGAAUGCGCAGAUAUCAGGAGGAACACCGAUGGCGAAGGCAGCUCGCUGGAACGUAACUGACGCUGAGACGCGAAAGCGUGGGGAGCAAACAGG